This 449-nucleotide ribosomal RNA is filed under the name Trochoidea pyramidata. RNAcentral's name for it is "partial 16S ribosomal RNA". It matches the Rfam family "Bacterial large subunit ribosomal RNA", at positions 1808 to 2606 of the family's 2925-position model. Lineage: Eukaryota; Metazoa; Mollusca; Gastropoda; Stylommatophora; Geomitridae. The record is from RNAcentral.
CAAAAACAUAGCUGGGCGUAUUGGAUGUUCGGUCAUUUCUGCUCCAUGGUUUUCUAAAUAGCCGCAGUACCUUGACUGUGCUAAGGUAGCAUAAUCAAUUGGCUUAUAAUUGAAGUCUAGCAUGAAAGAAAGCAUGGAUAACCACUGUCUCAACACGGUUAAUAAAAGUUACUUAGUGGGUGAAAAUUCCCCCAGAUAGAUAAUAGACGAGAAGACCCUAGAAAUUUUUUAGAAAGGGGAAUUGGACUCCGUUUAAUUUUGUUGGGGCGACAGAAUAACAUGUAACUUAUUUUAUGCUAUAAGAAUUUUGUUUAAAGGAAAAGUAAAUUACUCUAGGGAUAACAGCAUAAUGCAAUUUAGAGUUUGUGACCUCGAUGUUGGACUAGGGUUUCUUACGACCAGAAGUUGGGGGACUAGGCUCUGUUCGAGCUAUCUUCCCUACAUGAUCA